GGCAUGUGCGGUGUGGGACCCCCCAGCUUUGCACAGCCCGCUCUGUUCUGGGGCUGCGGUGGCAGAGCGGGUCCCUGCGGCUGAGUCAUUGUAAACGCCCUCCUCGCCCUUCCUGAGCCACUUUGCAAACUAAGCGAGGGUGUUUUUAGAGAUGAGACUGUUUUUUAAUCUGUAAGCACAAUGUGUGGCUGCGUUUGUUAGUUCGUGGAUUUGUUUUUGAAGGUGUUGGUAUUUCCUCACCUUUUCCAUCACAGCCUCUUCUAAAGAUGCUUCAGGAUAUCUGUAUCUCACAAUGACACCCACCACAUAUGUAUGCCUGAUUUCCUUUCACAAAUACUACGUCUUGUUCAUGUAACUAAUUUUUCUGGUCUCUUAUAUGUGGUUCCUGGAACACUUUCCAGGCUUUCUUUUUAGGGUCCUCUGUUAACAUAUAGUUGUGCCUUUUAAUUUGCUCAGUGGGGUGUGGUUUCUUAGCACCAGGGUCUGGCUGUCUGUCCUGCAGGGACAGGAGGACGGUCACACCAGCCUCACCACUGAAUGCACCCCGAAACAGCUCCAUCUGUGCCUCUGAAACCAGAGUAAACAUUCUCUCUUUGUCACAAGUCUCAGAGUGCCUGCGGGAUCAGUGACCUGUGCAGAAGCAGCUGCCAGAACACAGCUCCUGGGGCUGAUCCCCAGCUCUACACGCACCCCUUGGCAGCACAGGCAGAAGAACACCAGCAAGGUUCUCCUUAAUGCUCCAGAUGGGUUUGCCUUCCAAGAGGCCACUGAAAGUGGGAUCUGUCCAAAUGCUCAGCUCCUGCACCAGUCUCCACCAAAAGAAAAAAAUGCAACCAGCAUUCACCACAUAGAACUGAAGCCAAAAGCCUGACCUUCACUAUCAAUGGGGAGGAGCAUCUGCCCUGGGUGAGGGUCCUGUGCCCAGACCUUUGUAAUGUAGAGAGGACCCUGUGCUGUGCUUCAAGAGGCACCUGCUGGGAGAUGCAGAGAAACUCCCUCUGCUCCUCUGUAACAAUGGCAUUGUGUCUGUCCAUGCGAGGACCUGCUCAGGGAAUCUCCUGGUCUGGAAACCAGUGCUUGUCCCAUGAAGGAGAGGUCCCCCAAAAUAUGGCAGACUUGGGAACAGGUCUCAGAAAUUCUUUUUAAGCAAGUGACUGACUUCUGUUCUCCAGGAAGGGAGUUCUGCUUGGAAAUGUGAUUUUCUGACCAGUCUGUCCUCUUCAUCUAAGCACAACACAGGAAAGGUGGUGGGGGGUUUUCUGCCCUGUCUCUCAACUCACAUUUUUUUCUCGUGGGCAUGUGUGAUGUCCCAGUUUCAUUAGACUGUAUUUGAUCCCUGUUUACUACAUUUUAAUUAAACUUGGUUGUGGUUUAAUUACAUCCUGCUCAUUACUUUCAGUACCUUUUUUUCUGUCUGAUUUUACUUGACCUUUGUGCUAAGUGUUGUGUUUGUAGCAGGG
This 1460-nucleotide long non-coding RNA is filed under the name Zonotrichia albicollis (white-throated sparrow). RNAcentral describes it as "lncRNA (ENSZALG00000011224.1)". Lineage: Eukaryota; Metazoa; Chordata; Aves; Passeriformes; Passerellidae. The record is from RNAcentral.